This is a long non-coding RNA of Vespa velutina, 3808 nucleotides long. RefSeq lists it as uncharacterized. The record is from RefSeq and is a predicted model, not a curated record. The transcript has 2 exons. NCBI's taxonomy places the organism in Eukaryota, Metazoa, Arthropoda, Insecta, Hymenoptera, Vespidae.
UAGUUACAAAGAAUGAAAAAGAAAGACAGAGAAAGCAAGCUAGAUAGUUGUAGAGAGCGAAAAAGAAAGAGGGAAAGAAGGAAAGAGAAAGAGAGAGAGAGAGAGAGAGAGAUUAGACGGAGAACGGGAGGAACCGGUUAGAACCGAGUCAAAAAGGUACGAUCAAGUCGUGCCUUUCGGUUAUACCAAAGCGAUAUUUUUUAGUAAAGCAAAGCCAACUAUGGUAUUGGAUAAAAGAUGAAGGAAGGAACGAAGGAAGGAAGUAAAGGAAGAUAGGUAUUCGUUUAUGUAUUUCUAAUGCUUCCUAUAUGUAAGUAUGUACAUAUGUACGUUUCUAACUUGAACAUAAUGUUCAUGGGGAUGCGCACGAGCAACCACCAGACUUCUAUCUAUCUAUAUCUAUCUAUCUAUUUCUCUCUCGUACACAUAGAUAUAAUCAUAUAUAUAUAUAUAUAUACUCUCACUCUUUCUCUCUAUUGAUUCCAUGACCCAAAGAACCCUGAGAGAGCCGUGUGCCGAUUUGUUGGAAAGAGGAGACACGAUCGACCGUCUUAAGAGCUUUUCUCACUACACUACUACUACUACUACUACUACUCUACUAUGAGAGAUCCUUCGAGAAGGGCACUAGAUGUUUUUAUAUUGUUUAUGUAUAUAUAUAUAUAUAUAUAUAUAUAUAUAUAUAUACAUAUACAUAUGUGUGUUUACGUGUACGCGUUUGUUUAUUUCUUUCUUUGCAUCUAACAAUCGGAGAAUAUCUCGUAAGAUAAAAACUAUGUUGUGUUACUUGCGCGUCUUGUGUCCUCUCUCUCUCUCUCUCUCUCUCUCUCUCUCUCUCUCUCUGUGUCUCUUUUAUUGUAACGUAGUGUACUAUAAUAGAAAACAUUCGAGUGAAGUAUAUCAAAGGAAUCGUAUGUGUACACACGCUUUUAUGGUAUCUAAGAAUAUCUCAAAUGUUAGAUCGUGCGGAAACUUCGUGUAUACACGUUGGUUAUAUAUCUAUAUGUAUAAAAAGGUAUUGGUACCUAUAUCCAUUGCAUAGUUAUUUACUGGAUAAAAAUUGUAUUGGUUGAUCUUUUUCUCUUUUCUUUUUUUUUUUUUUUCUUCCUUUUUCUUGAUUUCUUUUCUAUUUUGUUUUCUUUUUCUUUUUUAAGAAGUCUUUCAGUUACCCAUACUAAUGAUCUUCUUUUCGUUUUACGAAACUAUUCUCCCACGUGAAUCUACCAGUGCCAAGAGCAUUUUAACGUUGGUGAUGAAACGGCGACACCGAAACGAAUCGUUUCGAGCAUCACCAAGAAGAAACGCGAUCUAUAUACUAAAAAUAUCAUACGUUUUAUAUAUAUGUAUAUAUGUACGUGUGUAUGCAUAUAUGUAUAUAUAUUAAUAUAUAUAAUAUGUGCCUAUGUAUUGAGAAGGAUGUAAAAAAAUGCUUUCGUUAUUUUAUCGCUAAGCUCUAUCUUUUUAUAUGAAAUAAAAUCAAGAUGGAGAUUUUAUUUUUAAUAAAACUUAAACGUCAUAUUUCAAAGAGGCCGAUAAAAAUGCAUGUCAUGCAUUUACCGCAAGAACGGAAAAGCAAUAAAAAUGCGUAUCGUGCGUUUUUCUUCAAAGCAACCCGACAUAGCGUGCCGAGACCGAAAGCGAGUCUUUACUUCUUUUUCACGUUUACGUAACAUCGUCAAUUAUAUUUUUUAAGUUACAAUGUAUUAUAAGUUCGUUGAUAAAAAUAAUAUAUGUCGAGAGGAAAAAUAAAAAAAGAAUAUACUGUAAAUAAAUGGUAUUAGUAUUUUUUCCAUUGAAAUUUCUGACGUCGCAAUUAAAAUAUGUAUUUUGUGAUACCAAAAAGGAUUGUAUUUGGUAUUCAUUACUGGAAAUUUUCAAUAUUAUUAACUGUGUGAGUCUGUGGCCAGUUCUAUGAUAUAUCGCAUAUGUAUAUACAUAUAUAUAUAUAUAGUUAUAUUUUAUAUAAUUCAUUUAGAUAUAUAAAAUACUUUAUUUGCAUAUAUAUAUAUAUAGAAAAUUUUAAUUAUUUUAUCAAUGUAUUGAUAACUGUGACACAAACACAUACAUUUAUAUAAAUAUACAUAGAUAAAAUAUCUAUAUGUUCGUAGGUAUAUUAUCAUCGGUUAUUAAGAAGACGAGAUAUUGAGACGAAAGGGAUGAGGGAGGGGGAGAAGUUUACUCGAGCAAAAUGAAAAUUUAGAUGCGAGAUUCUAUCUUUAGUUCGACACUGCAAAGCCGCUGGGAAUAUAGGUUACUGUCAUCGAAAUAGCCUCUGACUGAACAUUUCCACUGACCCAGUAACACGAAACUAAAUGUUAGCAGGGAAAGUAAAAUAUAUCAGCGAUUUUAUGCGUCUCUCAUUAGAAUGAAAUUUCAUUGGGGAGAAAAUAAAUGGAUAGUUCAUGAGUUUCCUCAAUCGCAAAAUAAAUAUAUAUAAACAAUGAAUAUUUUAGUCACGAGAAUUCAAUGUUUCGAGUGGAGCAUAAUAUUACGUUUUAAUUUUUUCAUAACUAUAUACAUAUGUACGUUGCCAAUGACGAAUUUACGCACAUGCAAUAUAGAAGGUCGUCUCGAGAUGCGCACUCUGUAAGACAUAUAUAUUCAUACAUAUAUAUAUAUAUAUAAACCCUUCUCUACGCGAACAAAUAUAUAAAUUUAUAUUAUAUAAUAAAUUUAAUUUAAUAUCGAUUUUAAUAUCAGUAUAGAAUUUUUAUCUCUAUAUUUAUGCCUUACAUAUGAUACAUACUUAAUUGAAUUUAGAAAGUGUAUAUAUCGUUUCAUUAUUACCAUAUAAUUGAUUUAUUUUAUAAAUACGUAGGAGUUUCUAAAAAUUAGUGACGCCCCGGAUCUUUUGAAAUCUAAGCCCGCGAGUGUAUGCACCUAAUUAUAUAUUAACCUUGAAUAUUCGACGUGCAUUAUUAAAACGGACGUAUACAAAUAUAUAAAUAAUAGGAAAACGAGGCGGAAAACUUGGUAAAUACAUAUCAAACGUGGAAUUCCAUAGAAGGAAAAUUACCAAUCGAAGUAUAGAACGAUCUGUUUAAUAAAUCGAUUUUAUCUGUUAGAUAAUAUUAGACAGGGUAGGUGGUAAAACAAGAGACGUGGAAAGUUCCAAGUAUCUUUCCACUUUGCAUUCUAGCCCUCAAAAGUUCUUCUCUCUCUCUCCUCCCCCUAGUGAUAGCAUGAUUUAACCAGUUGAUUUUGACUAUCCGUAAGAAAUAGACAUGUAACUUUUCUUCUUUGCAAAUACAAUGAAGAAAACGUUUAUCCAAGUGGUGGAAUAUUGAAACUCGUUUUACUUAUAGAUGGAUAUAUGAAAGAUAGAGAGAGAGAGAGAGAGAAAGAGAGAGAGAGAGAGAGAGAAAAACAGAAGUAAAAGAAGUAGAAGAAAAAUAGAUAGAGUUCAGCGUGGCUCAUUUGUAAGCGAACUUCAUUGCGAUACAUGUACCUAAACGUUGUCGAGUUUACCUGGAACGUUGUGAAAACAUACUUGAGAAGAAGAGAAUAAAAGAGAGAAAAAAGAAAAAAAAGGAAGAAACAAGGAACUCUUGCCUUCUAUUAUACAAAAGAUAAAUUCGACAGACAUCUGCUACGGCUUUACUACUCCUUUACACCUGCAUUAUACAAUCAAACUGCAGCUGUUUCUUGAUUUAUCACCGAACUUAUCUACUAAUCUGCUAUUCCCACCGAUUCCAAGCGCAACCCCCCCGCCACGUAAAGGGGUUGAAUGGGAAGGAGGGCACGUGGCUUCGUUUUUCUCAUUCGUAUCAUGUAAUGAAAAUUUAUUAAUAAAAGGAAUACAUUCAAGUAA